GACUACAAAUUGCCAAAAAAUGCUAUGGGCUACCGCUUGCAAUUGUUGUAGUCUCAGGUCUUCUGUUAAAGAAAGAAAAAACACGUGACUGGUGGAAGAAAAUUGCUAAUGAUGUUAGUUCAUAUGUUGCUAGGGAUCCAAAGCAAUGCAUGGAUGUUCUAGCACUGAGUUAUAAGCAUUUACCUGAUCACUUGAAAGUGUGCUUCAUCUAUUUCGGAGUCUUCCCUGAAGACUUUGAAAUUCCUGUGUGGAAAUUACUCAGAUUGUG
RNAcentral lists this unclassified non-coding RNA (268 nucleotides) under Hevea brasiliensis (rubber tree). Lineage: Eukaryota; Viridiplantae; Streptophyta; Magnoliopsida; Malpighiales; Euphorbiaceae. The record is from RNAcentral.